Molecule: long non-coding RNA, 888 nt
Organism: Lutra lutra (Eurasian river otter)
Lineage: Eukaryota; Metazoa; Chordata; Mammalia; Carnivora; Mustelidae
Exons: 4
Source: RefSeq, a predicted model, not a curated record
GUCCCAGGCUUUCAACUCCUCUAAUUGCUGUGCCUCCUCUAGGGGCCCUAGGGAACGUCUGGGCUCUAUCUCUGCCUUCUAGGAGGCUCUACGGGGCUGGGCCUAGUGCUCUCAGCUGACUUGUACCACACUGCCAGUUGUCUCCUCCUGCAUUGGCCACAUAUUGGCCCAGGAGGAUCAAAACCUAGAUAAAGCAGAGAAAAUUAAACUAAAGAAUAAAACCAAAAGAAUCCUUCUACCCAAUUUCAAGAUCUAGCGCUACAGUCAUCAAAAGGGUGUGGUGUUGGUGAAGGGAUAGACAAAUGGAACAGAAGAAAGAUAGAUAAGUGGCACUGGAUCAAGGACCCAGAAAGAGACCUACUACCAAUAUGUCCAAUGGGGUACUGACAAAGAACCUAGAUAAAGCAGAGAAAAUUAAACUAAAGAAUAAAACCAAAAGAAUCCUUCUACCCAAUUUCAAGAUCUAGCGCUACAGUCAUCAAAAGGGUGUGGUGUUGGUGAAGGGAUAGACAAAUGGAACAGAAGAAAGAUAGAUAAGUGGCACUGGAUCAAGGACCCAGAAAGAGACCUACUACCAAUAUGUCCAAUGGGGUACUGACAAAGAACCUAGAUAAAGCAGAGAAAAUUAAACUAAAGAAUAAAACCAAAAGAAUCCUUCUACCCAAUUUCAAGAUCUAGCGCUACAGUCAUCAAAAGGGUGUGGUGUUGGUGAAGGGAUAGACAAAUGGAACAGAAGAAAGAUAGAUAAGUGGCACUGGAUCAAGGACCCAGAAAGAGACCUACUACCAAUAUGUCCAAUGGGGUACUGACAAAGGUAAUAGGCAGUUCAAUGGAGGAGUGACAGGGUUUUGAAUAAAUGGUGCUAGAGCAAGUGGACUUCCAUAGGCA